GGCUUCAUCAUGAUAUUUUGCUCUUCCUUUCUCUGAGCUGCUUUCCUAAAACUAUGAUUUUAAGAAUGGAAUUUGUUUCUUGUGGGAUUCCAGUAACAAGUGGAUGGACAGCGUGGAAGAUAAAUCCUAGAAAAAGUUGCAAGGAAUGCAUUUUAGCUUCUGGAGAGACACAUGAAACAGAGUACUGGACAACCAGAAAGAGCAAAAAGAGGGACGGUGAGAAACAAAUUGCAUUAGAGAGCCUGAGAUAUCUAUGUCAAGAGCAAAGAACGCACCUCACUGUGGAUGGAUCUGCAACUUUUCUACUUCUUGCUGAACACUUGUACAGAGUUUUUGGAAUUUCAGGAGAAAACUGCAGUUGCAGGUGUCCUUUUGGAUGGUACCUGGGUCAAUAAAUGCCAGAGACAGAGCACUGGCACAGGGUGCUGAGAGAAGCUGCAGAGUCUUCUCCUUGGAGAUCUUCUGAAGACACCUGGACAUGGUCCCAGGCACUCUGCUCUGGGUGUCCCAGCUUGAGUAGGGACUGGGUGAGAUGGACCCUGGAGACUACUUCCAGCCCCAACCAUUCUGUGAUCCUGUGAGCAAAUGCAAUGUGCAAAGCUGGCUGAUAUCCAGUCUGUGUCCAAGAAAGCAAUUAGCUACCACUAAACAAGUGAAGUUUAAGCAGAUUCAGUGACUUGAAGCAGCCUUUAAUAUAUAGAUGAAAAACUAGAGGUUCUGAAAGGGAAGCAAACAGAAUACACAGCUUCAUAGAUACAUACAGAGCAUACAGCUCAUUUUGUAUUCCCUCUGUCUUGAGGGCACCUUGCACAGUCACAGCUCCUAUAAAUUAGAGCAGCUGGUGGGAGACCAUAUCUUAUGCUGGUGUGCAUAAUGGCUGCCUCACCUCCUGCACUAGUUCUCACCCUGCACCUUCCAAAACGAUGUGACCUCAUAGCCUUUGUGUUGGCCACAUGCCAGAGGCAUUAAACUAACACCUUUCAUGCUAGUCUUGCUCUCCUUGCCUUGCAGAAAGAGCCCAAUUUACUUUACUUGUAUCUUUAAAGCCCUGAACCUAUUCAUCAUAAAAGAAUGAUAUUUCCUUGUAUUCCCCAUGUGCUUCUUCACUAGCUCUCUGGUGCAAGUCCCAAAGGCAAUGAUUUCAUCCAGAGUGACCUUUGCAGAGCAGAUGGAGAAAGGGCUACUUGGUUAGAAGACGACUGCCCAUCUCAUCUUCUCCAAGCAACAGGAUUCAUCUGAGACCUUUAGAUUAUCAAAGCCUAGUAAAAAUGAUUCAGUGUGUCCCAUUUACUUGCAUUCAGAUCCUCUCUUACUAUAAUAAACCGUGUAUUAGAAAAAUACACAGAAAAAUUUCAUCAAAAUAAAUAUUACUGUAGCAGCCUCAGGUUUUCUAAUUCUCAGUUUUAGAUACCAGGCUCGUAUUUACUGAGUAUAGUUUCUACCAGGAGCAUACGGGAGUAGCUGCAUUCCUUUAAUGCUAGCUCUGCAAGUUUGUGAAUCCUACUGAGCCACAUGGGAUUUGACCUGCAAGGAGAGAUCAAAAUGGGUACAGAGAAUGGCAGAUUCACAGUGCGGCCACAUUUUAUCAUCUUGCAUUCCUGCUGAAGGAGAAUGACACUAUUAUUCCAAACAAAAAAAGAUUUUAGUGGUAAAUGAAGGGGCCAAGAAAGUCGCUGCAAAGCCCACAGCCAAAGGCAGGAUAGUUUUUCACUGUCCUGGGAAGCACAGUUUUGUGCUAUACUCUUUCCAAGUGUGUGUUUGUCUUAUUCACAGUUAACACUAUUCAAGUUAAAUUAAAUGAGUAGUUGAAAAUUAAGUGUUCCUGGUCUGAAUCAAUUUUCACAAAGCAUUAAAUAAUUAUGCAAAAACUGACAGUACCUUACAGUCUGCAUAGCCUUCAUUUCACCUUUUCCUUAUAUACUACAGGCCUCCAUCCACUCAUUUCUAUUCAUGUGGAUCAGGGCAGGAAAUGAAGAAAUAUAUUGUAUUUAUGUAUAAAUAUUUGAAAAAAUAGCACAUUGGCAAGUUAUAAUUAGUUUAACAGAGAAAUUGAGU
This is a long non-coding RNA of Gallus gallus (chicken), 2055 nucleotides long. Lineage: Eukaryota; Metazoa; Chordata; Aves; Galliformes; Phasianidae. The record is from Ensembl.